This 478-nucleotide ribosomal RNA is filed under the name uncultured bacterium. RNAcentral describes it as "partial 16S ribosomal RNA". It matches the Rfam family "Bacterial small subunit ribosomal RNA", at positions 28 to 523 of the family's 1533-position model. The record is from RNAcentral.
GACGAACGCUGGCGGCGUGCUUAACACAUGCAAGUCGAACGGUAAGGCCCUUCGGGGUACACGAGUGGCGAACGGGUGAGUAACACGUGGGUGAUCUGCCCUGCACUUCGGGAUAAGCCAGGGAAACUGGGUCUAAUACCGGAUAGGACCACUGCCCGCAUGGGUGGUGGUGGAAAGAUUUUGCGGUGUGGGAUGGGCCCGCGGCCUAUCAGCUUGUUGGUGGGGUGAUGGCCUACCAAGGCGACGACGGGUAGCCGGCCUGAGAGGGUGACCGGCCACACUGGGACUGAGAUACGGCCCAGACUCCUACGGGAGGCAGCAGUGGGGAAUAUUGCACAAUGGGCGCAAGCCUGAUGCAGCGACGCCGCGUGAGGGAUGACGGCCUUCGGGUUGUAAACCUCUUUCAGCACCGACGAAGCGCAAGUGACGGUAGGUGCAGAAGAAGGACCGGCCAACUACGUGCCAGCCGCCGCGGUAA